AGCUUUGCGCAGUGGCAAUAUCAUAGCCAAUGAGGUUUAUCUGAGGCACAAUUAUUGCUAAUUAAAAUCUGUUAGUGUACAAAAUGAUAUAGCUAAAUAGCAAGUCAGAAGAGGCUGAGCAUGUACAUUAACUCCUUCUCCCCUGGGUCCCUUGCUGAUCUACUUAUUCUGGAUAAUUAAAUCUAAC
This 187-nucleotide small nuclear RNA is filed under the name Zalophus californianus (California sea lion). Its description in RNAcentral is "U4 spliceosomal RNA (ENSZCAG00015006644.1)". The stretch from base 1 to 77 matches the Rfam family "U4 spliceosomal RNA". Lineage: Eukaryota; Metazoa; Chordata; Mammalia; Carnivora; Otariidae. The record is from RNAcentral.